GGUAAAAUGGCUGAAUAUAGGCAAUAAAUUGUAAAUUUAUUUAUGAAUUAGAUUCUUUUAUCA
RNAcentral lists this transfer RNA (63 nucleotides) under Curculionoidea sp. 15 KM-2017. RNAcentral describes it as "tRNA-Tyr". The record is from RNAcentral. Lineage: Eukaryota; Metazoa; Arthropoda; Insecta; Coleoptera.